Molecule: unclassified non-coding RNA, 2920 nt
Filed under: Hevea brasiliensis (rubber tree)
Lineage: Eukaryota; Viridiplantae; Streptophyta; Magnoliopsida; Malpighiales; Euphorbiaceae
Source: RNAcentral
CUAAAAUGAUAUUAUUAUUGGACAAGAAAGCCUUCUCUUUUAAUAAACAAAUAUAUCCAAACAAAUUCAGAAGAAAAUAACCCUCCAAUAUUUUAUGAUGAGAUAUCAGCUAUAGGGGCUAAAACCAACAAACAAAAAGAACUCAAUGUACAGAGAAACAAAAGAACUAGGAAUCCUGUGCAAAGAAUGCCUGAACUAUGCAUACAAGUGGAAAAAAAAAUAUGGUAAUCCUAAAAAUAUAGAAGCAAUUAUCAAUAAUUCAAUAAGGAGUACUUCACACGUAAAACAAUCCUUCCCUUGUCCACCCCAAGCUUGGCUCCUGUUACCAACCAAUGACCUGGAAUAUCUUGCGGUCCCUUUGACAUUUCGCUUACGUCAACGAUUUUUGCCAGUUUCCCAACAUUGCUUGAACCAUCUUCCUUCUUAUCACUGGAGGUUUUCUCAUUUGAUAUUGAUGAUGAUGCUCCAUUGGGUUGCUGUGCAUAAGGAUUGGAGGGGCUAUGGUCCCAUACAGACCGUCUUAUUGUACAACCUGGAACUUUAGAGAACAGGAGUUUGAGGUGCAACACAUUUUUGGCCCCAAAAUCCCAAACACCAAGCUGAGCACCAGUGACAAUGUGAACGCCAGAGAGAUCUCCAAUGGAAGUAUCAGUGCACUCUAUCGGUGUUGUGCUUACAUGAGAGAAGUUCUUCCACUUAAUUGGCUCAAACCAACGGCUGUCUUGCUCUUCAGGACCUUUCCACUUGGGCGCACCUAUGGCUAUGUGUGCAUCCCAGUGUGGCUGAAGAAUUUUUGGAAGAGACACAAGAUGUUGCAAAUGGAUGGAGAGCCUGUUUUGCUUAAUGCCUUCGAGGCCAAGUCUAAGACCAGUGACUGGCUUACGGCCAACUGUUACCUGCAAUACCAUUAGGUUUAUAACCCCAUUGAGAGCCGUAGUUGUUAUGUUUAUGCUGACAAGCUCUAGCUAAAAGAAUUUAUGUAAGCCUUAAAGGAGAUUUUCCCACUAUAAGGGAAGGAAUUUCAUGUAAACCGAGGAAUAUUUUGUGCCAAAUUGUCCACAGGUUACACAUGUUUUAUUUUAAUUCAAAUCUUGAAACAGUUACCGGACGAUGUUACUUCAUCAAUGCUACAUGUCAAGUACUGACAUAAGUGGUAACUCCACCCAUUUUAUGGUUUUUCACUCUGAUAAUCAUCAUUCAAGUGAUAAUAGAUGCUUGAAAAACUUCACCGUCACAUAAAUCUUCACAAGAUAUAUGAGUUGCAACUACUAUUUUCAAAAACAUGCUUUGCUAUGUAAGUCAUCCACAAUGGCUUCUUUCUGGUGGUCAAUUUUGUUUGAAUUCAGAAGUUCUCUUACUGGCUUACAAAUUCAAGUACCUUUUUAUGAAAGCAAUGCUUCCCAACAAUGAGAACGAAAAGGCAAGAGGAAAACAUGAAUUGCAUCUUAUUUUGCUGCUAGGUUUAUUUGUUUUCAAUUUAUCAUGCAUUAGCUCUUUAUUUUCUUUUUCAAUUUUUACAGAAUAAUUAAGAACCUUUUUUUAUUUCAGCCAUUUCUUUCCUUUUAGUAAUGCAAGGCAGACAAAGCUUCAAGCAUUAAUUUCUAUCAGCACAUAGGAAGAUUUUACAACUAUGAAAAAUUACCUGAUCUGGGCUGAUAUAGAGCUUGGGUCCCAUCAAGCUGAAUUGAAGGGAUUGGCAAACAGGCUCCUUUCUUUGAAGGUUAUUCUGUUCUGGAGCCCAAACUCGAGCAAUUUGAAAAUCCAAGAAAUACUGCAAGUCCUCUAUAGGUGGCUUGUACUCCAAGUAUAAAUCAAUUGCCCGGGCUAAAUGCUUCAUGCCAGGUGCUCCUUCAAGCAGAGAAACAAUUGGUGUAAAUGUCAUAUUAAUCACAUCUGGUGCCAACUGCACGGUCUCUGCCCACUUGGCAUGACUCUGCUCAAGAUCAUCACCUCCUCUCCUUCUAAAAAUGACUGUUACAUCCUUGUCCUUGUAUUUUAAGGGGCCAGCACUUGGCUGACUUUUUGAGUCCUGAAACCUCUGAUCUGCAAUAUCUUCCACAUAGCUCUCAAUGUCUGACACUGACAAAGAAGAUGAUUGGUGCUGCCGGAUGUAAACAACAUCUCUUCCACCGAUUGUAGCGGAUGUGAUAAUAUGGGUACCAUAACUUUCAAUGAAGCUUGCCAAGGAUGCAGGAUCCCAGGAGUAUGGAACAGCACGAUUGAUUUCCUCACACAAGACUAAAUUCACUUUUGCUAAUUGAACAUUAUAAAGAGAAAUGAAAUGCCCAACCAUUGCAAGGGAUUUUGUUGCUGUUGCAUCAACUUGCCAAGAACCGGUGAAAUUGAACAUGGCAUUAAAGCUUCCAAGCGGAAUAUGUCCUGAUAUACCUGAUUUCUCAUUGAAUCUUCCUGCCAUCUCAUGGAAGCUGCAAACAGGAAUUCUUUCAAUGCUCCUAUGGUCUUUAGAGCAGUCAAUAUCGAUAGAAACAUUCGGCAACAAAACCCCAUCAGAGAUUACUAUAUCUCUGGUGUGCUCUUCAUCAAUAUGCACCAGCCUGGACCCAGGAGCUCCCUUGCAAUACAAAAGCCGUAUAUCAGAUGUGACAUCAAACCCACGACCCAAAGCCUGGAUUGAGUUGGAGAGAGUAGUGGUCAAAGCAUCAGAGCUCAAGCUCAUUUUUUUUUCACUUUCCAUAGAUGAAACAAUAAUCCUAAAGGGUUUUCUAGUAUCUCAUUUCUUUGAUUUGUUACUGAAAAGUAAAAGAAAAAGAAAUGAGAUUUUCCUGACGAGUGUUUCUUGAUUUUGGUGUCAAUUUGAUUUUUGUGGAGCUUAGGUUGGGAAGUUUGGGGCUUCGGAGUUGGUGAAAGGUUUGUUCUUGUUCUUGAUAUUGUUGUAAGUUGAUGCUGCUCUUUGUUCUUG